RNAcentral lists this ribosomal RNA (1342 nucleotides) under uncultured bacterium. RNAcentral's name for it is "bacterial SSU rRNA". It matches the Rfam family "Bacterial small subunit ribosomal RNA", at positions 28 to 1381 of the family's 1533-position model. The record is from RNAcentral.
GACGAACGCUGGCGGCGUGCUUAACACAUGCAAGUCGAACGAUGAUGCCCAGCUUGCUGGGUGGAUUAGUGGCGAACGGGUGAGUAACACGUGAGUAACCUGCCCCUGACUCUGGGAUAAGCGUUGGAAACGACGUCUAAUACUGGAUAUGAUCACUGGCCGCAUGGUCUGGUGGUGGAAAGAUUUUUUGGUUGGGGAUGGACUCGCGGCCUAUCAGCUUGUUGGUGAGGUAAUGGCUCACCAAGGCGACGACGGGUAGCCGGCCUGAGAGGGUGACCGGCCACACUGGGACUGAGACACGGCCCAGACUCCUACGGGAGGCAGCAGUGGGGAAUAUUGCACAAUGGGCGAAAGCCUGAUGCAGCAACGCCGCGUGAGGGAUGACGGCCUUCGGGUUGUAAACCUCUUUUAGUAGGGAAGAAGCGAAAGUGACGGUACCUGCAGAAAAAGCACCGGCUAACUACGUGCCAGCAGCCGCGGUAAUACGUAGGGUGCAAGCGUUGUCCGGAAUUAUUGGGCGUAAAGAGCUCGUAGGCGGUUUGUCGCGUCUGCUGUGAAAUCCCGAGGCUCAACCUCGGGCUUGCAGUGGGUACGGGCAGACUAGAGUGCGGUAGGGGAGAUUGGAAUUCCUGGUGUAGCGGUGGAAUGCGCAGAUAUCAGGAGGAACACCGAUGGCGAAGGCAGAUCUCUGGGCCGUAACUGACGCUGAGGAGCGAAAGCAUGGGGAGCGAACAGGAUUAGAUACCCUGGUAGUCCAUGCCGUAAACGUUGGGCGCUAGAUGUAGGGACCUUUCCACGGUUUCUGUGUCGUAGCUAACGCAUUAAGCGCCCCGCCUGGGGAGUACGGCCGCAAGGCUAAAACUCAAAGGAAUUGACGGGGGCCCGCACAAGCGGCGGAGCAUGCGGAUUAAUUCGAUGCAACGCGAAGAACCUUACCAAGGCUUGACAUACACCGGAAACGGCCAGAGAUGGUCGCCCCCUUGUGGUCGGUGUACAGGUGGUGCAUGGUUGUCGUCAGCUCGUGUCGUGAGAUGUUGGGUUAAGUCCCGCAACGAGCGCAACCCUCGUUCUAUGUUGCCAGCGGGUUAUGCCGGGGACUCAUAGGAGACUGCCGGGGUCAACUCGGAGGAAGGUGGGGAUGACGUCAAAUCAUCAUGCCCCUUAUGUCUUGGGCUUCACGCAUGCUACAAUGGCCGGUACAAAGGGCUGCGAUACCGUAAGGUGGAGCGAAUCCCAAAAAACCGGUCUCAGUUCGGAUUGAGGUCUGCAACUCGACCUCAUGAAGUCGGAGUCGCUAGUAAUCGCAGAUCAGCAACGCUGCGGUGAAUACGUUCCCGGGCCU